UACGAAGGGUGCAAGCGUUACUCGGAAUUACUGGGCGUAAAGCGUGCGUAGGUGGUUCGUUAAGUCUGAUGUGAAAGCCCUGGGCUCAACCUGGGAAUGGCAUUGGAUACUGGCGACCUAGAGUGCGGUAGAGGGGUGUGGAAUUCCCGGUGUAGCAGUGAAAUGCGUAGAUAUCAGGAGGAACACCGGUGGCGAAGGCGCACACCUGGCCCGAUACUGACGCUGAGGCGCGAAAGCUAGGGGAGCAAACGGG
RNAcentral lists this ribosomal RNA (253 nucleotides) under uncultured bacterium. RNAcentral describes it as "partial 16S ribosomal RNA". It matches the Rfam family "Bacterial small subunit ribosomal RNA", at positions 524 to 776 of the family's 1533-position model. The record is from RNAcentral.